Mustela lutreola (European mink) is the source of this 6553-nucleotide long non-coding RNA. RefSeq lists it as uncharacterized. NCBI's taxonomy places the organism in Eukaryota, Metazoa, Chordata, Mammalia, Carnivora, Mustelidae. The transcript is spliced from 2 exons. The record is from RefSeq and is a predicted model, not a curated record.
UUGGGGGGUGGGGUUUAGAGGGAGAGAGAGUGGGGCGGGUGGGCAGAGGGAGAGGGAGAGAGGGUCUUAAGCAGGCUGCACACUCAGCACAGAGCCCUAGGAAAGGUGAGGCUCCAUCUCAGGACCCUGAGAACAUGACCUGAACCGAAAUCCAGCUGGACACUUAACUGACUGAGCCACCCAGGCACCCCACUCUUCAUGCAGUAUUUUCAAUAUGUUCUCCGUUUUCCAUGUUCUCACAGAUGCUGUAUUUUAACUAAUAAACUUCUAUUUUAAUUAGUUUUGUCCUAAUUCCAUUUAGCAAGAACCGGAGCCUCAAUCUCUGAUUUCAUUAGCCAAGCUCAAUAUAUUGUUGGUCAUAACUAAAAAUUAAUUGCCUAAUUGAAUUGGUAAGAGUCACUUUGGUCACCUGCACUGUAAUUGUCCAGUCCCCUGUUUUGGAGGUACCCCAAAUUAGCAGCUUGUCUUGGAGGACGAUCUUGGCGUGCCCUCAUUUUGAUUUCAAAGCCAGUGAAGGAUUCGAGUUUUUGCAGAAGAAAUCCUAGGAGAUAGGACAUCUUUGAGAUAACUGGGCUUGAGGAAAUCCGAAUCAAAAUCAUAGACCUGUGUGGAUAAGGAACCAAGGCUCGGCUCGCCAGGCACGACGCCAACAACAGGAAACCGUUCCCUAAAGGCUGUCUGCAUGAAAGACGAACUGAAGACUAUCCGGCUCCUGCCCCACGUUUUAAGUCUCCCGUAUUUUUCAGCCCAGCAUCUAGCUCCUGCUCUAGAGCAACCAACCUCUUGAACUUUCCACCGGAAGGUGCAACCUUUCUGAGGUCACAGCUAUGUCUUACUCCCCGCAACCCCCUGACAUAGUCGAUGCUCACCAAAUAUCUAUUGUUUGCAUCAUAUUGGUUGAGCAGAGUCAUAGAAAGUAUCCUGACUUACUUUUUUAAUUAGGAUUUUAUUUAUUUAUUUAUUUAUUUAUUUGUGAGAGAGAAAGAGCAUGAGCGAGGUGAGGGACAGAGGGACAAGCAGGCUCCUCGUUGAGCGGGAAGCCCAAUGUGGGGCUCGAAACUACUACUGCAGGGGAGACAUGACCUGAGCCAAAGGUAGGUGCUUAACCCACCGAGACACCCAGGCAGAUAUCCUGAUAAGAUAUCCUGAGUUCUAGCACAGGUCCUGGGGUGCCUGGAUAGGAUAAUAUAUUUGAAGCACAAAUGGAGAACUAUGAAAAGAGUUAAAUAAUCCUCCUUGGAUUCAAAUAGCCUAGAUCCAAGCACAAUUUCAGUUGGCUUCAGUGUGGCCAUGUAGGCCAAAAAUUUGUCAGCCUUAGGCAGAAAUUAGAGCCACGAUGGGGAGCAUGAGUGGUCUGGGUAGUGUGCGGGUUCGCAAGUCACCAGAGACAGUGGCUGAGGGACAGAAUUCGAGCUCACGUCUGGCCAGUAGUGGCAUCCAGGAAGUUUACAUGGAACAGCUUUCAUUAUUCUGUGGCAUCCUUGAAGGUCCCAGACGUGUCCCAACACUUAUUUCCCUUAAAGGUAAAGAAAGGUGGUUUCUGAUCUUUGGCAAUUACAAACAAUCUACAAAACAAUGCUACCAACAAUGCUACAACAAAUCACUAAAAAUUAUUACGCCACCUUUCUUGACUCUACUUAUGGGUUCCUUAGAAUAUUUAAGACACAAUCAUUAUCUUUCAGAAGCUUCAUUCUAGGGAAUGGACACCAUAAGCAGCCUGCAAUUCUAUAGGAAACAAGCUAGAAUACAGAAAGGAAUAAAGUCAUGUUGAAUACUGAAUGGGGAGCAAUUACCUCUCCAAGAGUGUAUGACAGGGAAAAGCUGCAAGAAUAUAACCUUUUCACCAGGCUUGCAGGCUGUAUAAGAGUUUGCCAGAUAGACAAGAGCAGAAAGGAAUGCCAGGCAGAGGGAACAGUACAGUAUCAGAAACCACCCAAUUACCAUUCCAGAAUCUUGUUCAUUCUUGGUAUUGAGUCAAGUUAAUUAACUGAUACCAUUGUACCACCAAGUGAUUUGAGUACUGGUUCCAAAUUUUCUUGGUCCUCAGAUAGAAAGCAAAAGAUUUCCUUAACUUCUAUGUCAUUCCCAGUGUUGAUUCUAGCCAGAGGGAAAACAUCUGCUGUGGAGACAAAGCCACUUAUAAAAGACAUGGUACAGCUGUUGGUCCAAGAAAUAUAUACACAGGGCACAUGCUGACUAAUGGUCACUCUGGAGUGCUGUGCUGAGUAGGACAUGUCGGGCACCAGCAGGAAGGCAGACCAUGGUAAUUAGUGAUGUUUGCAGUGGGUUUUGGAGGGGUAGAAUGAUGGCACACAUGCUACUCAAUUGCAUUCAACACCCUAAGUUAUUUGCCCCUGACCUCUGUCUACCAACUGAAACUAGGACUGUCUCAUAGCACAACUCCAAGGGUCCCCAUUCAUGCCAUGCAGUCAUGUUCUCAGGGGGGCCACUCAUAGGAACUGUGUAAAUGGUGCCCCUUGGUGCCAUACAACAUGACAGUAACUAAAGUUCUGCUUAACUUGACAUGCUAACCCCCUAAAACACAUGCCUGCAUUUCUCUGUAGGUCUGCACUAUUCUUGGCUUUAUUACCAACCAGACUCCUCUCCGUGUUCAUCAGAAGCCCCCUAUUGUUUUCCAUCUUGAAGUUCAGACACCCAGACAAAAACUGACUUCUCGUUUUCAGUUCCACUUCCAAAGUCCCAGAGAAGGAUUCUAAUUGGUCCAGCUUGAGUCAAGAAUCAACCUCUAGACCAAUCAGCUGUGAAGAGUAGGAAGGAUCAUGCUUUACUAAUACGGAAACUUGUUGUAACUCAAGUUCUUAGAAACAGGAGAUUCUUAUGUCACAAACUAAUAAAUGUCUAUUUCAUAUACAGGUUCUUCCAGGGCAGGAUCCAUGGAUUACUUAUGUUUGAUCAGCUUAUAAAACUUGUAUGUAAUUGGGUCCUUCAUAUAUUUCACUGAAGGACCAGGUACUUUUUGCUGAAUGAUGAAUGAAUAUAUGUAUUAUUAUCUCCAUUUUUUACAUUUUUUAUUAUUUUUUAAAGAUUUUAUUUAUUUGUCAGAGAGAGAGAGUACACAAAGGAGAGCAUGAACCAGGGACGGGGAGAGAGAAGCAGGCUCCCUAUCAACUGUCGAGCAAGGAGCCCAAUGUGGGACUUGAUCCCAGGACCCUGGGAUCAUGCCCUGAGUGGAAGGCAGAUGCUUAACUGACUAAGCCACCCAAGUGGCCCUAUUGUCUCCAUUUUAAUAAGGUUAGCUCAGUUAAUUAUAUUGCCUGAAGAAAUAUAGACAUUAUAGGAUCAACUAGAAUUUCAGUGUCUGGUUAUAAACAAGACUUUUUCCACUACAUGAAGGAGUACAAAUGGAGUCUUAAAAGAGAUGUAGGUGAUAUGGCAUAAUCAAAUAAGCUUUUGCUUUGGAACAAACAGACCCAGCACGCUCUUUAGUCUUUGUCAAGUUGCUUUACCUUUUCUGAGCCUGUAUAUUCUUCAGCAAAGUGACAACGAUGUCAUCUACAGCACAAAGUUGUUAUGAAGCAUAAACCCGUAAAGAAUGUCAAAUGUCUGGCAUAUCAGAUUUUCGAGAAAUAUUAAUUAGAGUUCCUUUUUGUACUAACUGUCUUUUUUGGAGUUGUUUCUUAAUUUUCCAGCCAUCUUUUACGUCUGCGUGCCAUCCUAUUUGACUCUACCAUGGUUUAUUUUGUUAGCAGGUAGACUCUGAGAGACCAAGCAUUAUGUCUAUACAACUUACUCUUUUUAAAGAAUACCAAGAAGGCCAACUGUGCUUAGGAAAUGUAAGCAUACCAUUUGAUGGUGACAAUGCCUGGAUUACUGAAACAGCCUUCAACUGGUGCCACACAGACACUCUCCAUUCCAUCUCUACACAGCCAAAAUUUUUUUCCAAAUCAAAGAUUUGAAAAUCAAAAUCCUAUUAUAGUUCUCUACUUCUUAAAAUGCUUCAAAUUCCUCCCAUUGCUUUUAGUAUGACACCCAAAGUCCUUAGUAUGGCCACAAAACUCUAUGUCUCCUCAGUCUCUCAGCCUUAGCCACAGGGGCCUCCCCUCAGUGCCUCCACCAUGCUCCCUCAGCACAGGGCGUUUGUACACACUGCUUCCCCUGCCCAGAUGCUCUUCCCCUCUCCCUCCCUGUCACCUAACUCCUCAUUUAGUGUGCUUCCUCAGGAAAAUCUUUCCACAUCUUAUUUGAUCUAAAUUAGGUCCCCCUCAUAGCCGAGAGUAGCUAUAGUCCUUUUUCUGUGCAGCACUUGGCACUCUGGUAACUUACAUUUAUUUAUCUGAUCAUUUGAUUACCUGUAUCACUACUAAAUAAAUGGUCCACUCCAUGAAAACAGGCGCUGUGUCUCCUUUUGCUCACCACACUUCUCCCAUGACUAGCACAGUGAGAUGAUGUACUGCAGAGGUACAGAAAAUAUUGAAGAAAUGUAUGUUGUACAAUAAAAAUAACCAAAAACUUAUUUCUUAUUGCUGUACAACCAACUGUACAGAGAGCUCUAAAUUAUACUGUUUAGAGCUGUACAACUCUAAAACAUAGUAGUUUUGAACAAUAAGAAUCGUUUAUUACCUCUCAGAGUUUCUGAAGUUCAGGAAUUUGGAGGUGACUUCCUGAGUAUCUUUUGCUUUGAAUCUUUCAUGAGGUUGUAGUCGGAAGUCAGUGGGGGCUACAGUCAUCUGAAGGCUUGUUUGAGGCUGGAGAUCUUCCCAAGAGCCUGGAAGUUUCACUGGCUCUUGGGAAGAAGCCUCAGUUCUUCUCCACCUAGGCCUCUCCAUGGAGUUUCUUGAGCAUCCUCAAGACAUGGCAGCUGGCUUCUACCAGGGAAAACUAUCCAAGUCUGCAAUUUUAUGGCUUAACAUUGGAAGGCACAGACAGUCAUAUGUACAGUAAUCUUAUGGUCACACAGGUCAGCUCUGAUUCUUGGUAGGACUACACAAAGACAUGAAAACCAGCAGGCAUGGUUGACUGGAAGCCAUCUUGGGGAUGGGUUACCAUAAAGGACUCUGUUUAACUCUUGUAUCUUCAUACCCUUGAUGUAUGGAAAACAUUUGUACAAAGAAAGCAGAGCAUUCUUCCCUGAGGCACCUCUACCUCCCUGGGAAUUAUACUGGGUUUCUAAAUUCAGAAACUCCAGUGAAAGUCUCAAAAAAUAACUUUCUUAUACACAAUUAAUUAAUAAGUUACUGUUUCUCAAAGCCUCUGACCCAUUCAAGUAACUAGGAGGUCACAUUCAUUUUCCUAUUCUAUCACUUACAUACUGCUUCAGAACAAAUUACCACAAAACUUAGAGGCUUAAAACACACAUUUAUCAUCUCACUCUUACUAUGGGUCAAGAAUUUGGGCAUAACUGAGCUGUGCCUUCUGGCCCAGGGUCUCUCUUAGGCUGUGAUCACAGUGUGGGGCAGGAGCCAUACACAUCUCAAGGUUCAGCUAAGGCUGGAUCCCUUCUGCACCCUGCUUAGACUAAGGGCCUCAGUUUCUCAACUGCUGUUCCCCAGAGGCUCUUGGCCACAUGGCUGCUCAGUAGUGUAGCUCACAACACAGCAGCUGGUGUCAUCAAAAUGAGCAAGGGAGAGGAAGUGAGAGAAUGCUAGUAAGACAGAAAUCACAGCCUUUUGUUACCUAAUCUUGGAAGUAACAUCCCAUUACUUUUGAAGUAACAUCCCCACUCUCUCUCUUUUUUUAAAAAGUGUUUGUAGCUUAUUUUUUUAUUGCUAUUUUUUUUAAUUUGCUGUAUUCUCUUCAUUAGACACAAGGCAGUAGAUCCAGUCCGCAUUCAAGGACAGGGGCUCACGCAAGCGUGUAAAUACUAUGAAGCUGGGGUCAUUGAGACCCCGUGGCUGCCUACCACCCCCAGUAACAUCCCGGAGUUAGGGGAGUGUCUCUCUGCUUAGCAGAGACUUCCACUGCCCAUCCCAACCCACUCUAUAGAUAGCCUAACCUCGGGUUUCUGGAAGCAGUCAUGGGAAAAAUUCUCUAUAUUCUCACCAAUUUCAAGAAUUCAUCUCUUUUUUAAGAAAAACAAAACAAAACCCUACAGUUUUUCUGAUUUCAAAAGUGAGACAAACUUGCAGUGCCUAGCUUUCUCAGUCGGUGGAACAUGCCAAUCUUGAUCUUGGGGUUAUGAGUUCGAACACCACAUGUGGUGUGGAGUUUACUUAAAAUAAAAAAUUAAAAAAAAAUUUUUUUAAAGCAACACAAGCUCAUUUUAAGAUUCUGACAAUACUGAAAUAUAAAACUAUAAAUAAAAGUUCCCUAGCUUUCCUCCCACAUCUCAGAGAUAACUUAGCAAUGUUAAUACUGUGCUAUACACGUCCAUCCCUUUUUCCAUUACAUGUGCUAAUAUCAUAUUCUUAUUAAUUUAUCAAAAAGUUAUCAAACGUGGGAUGCCUGGGUGGCUCAGUCGGUUAAGCUGCUGCCUUUGGCUCAGGUCAUGAUCCCAGGGCUCCUUGCUCAGCGGGGAGCCUGCUUCUCUCUCUGUCUCUGCUUGCGCUCUCGCUCUCUGACAAAUAAAUAAAUAAAUAAAAUCUUUUUUUAAAAA